AACGAACGCUGGCGGCAGGCUUAACACAUGCAAGUCGGACGAUGUAGCAAUACAUAGUGGCGCACGGGUGAGUAACGCGUGGGAACGUGCCUUUUAGUUGGGAAUAACCACUGGAAACGGUGGCUAAUACCCGAUACGCCCUUCGGGGGAAAGAUUUAUCGCUAAAAGAUCGGCCCGCGUGAGAUUAGGUAGUUGGUGGGGUAAUGGCCUACCAAGCCUACGAUCUCUAGCUGGUCUGAGAGGAUGAUCAGCCACACUGGAACUGAGACACGGUCCAGACUCCUACGGGAGGCAGCAGUGGGGAAUAUUGGACAAUGGGGGAAACCCUGAUCCAGCCAUGCCGCGUGAGUGAUGAAGGCCUUAGGGUUGUAAAGCUCUUUUGUCAGGGAAGAUAAUGACGGUACCUGAAGAAUAAGCACCGGCUAACUUCGUGCCAGCAGCCGCCGUAA
This 449-nucleotide ribosomal RNA is filed under the name uncultured bacterium. Its description in RNAcentral is "partial 16S ribosomal RNA". It matches the Rfam family "Bacterial small subunit ribosomal RNA", at positions 29 to 523 of the family's 1533-position model. The record is from RNAcentral.